This 82-nucleotide transfer RNA is filed under the name EBPR podovirus 3. It matches the Rfam family "tRNA". Rfam says of the family: Transfer RNA (tRNA) molecules are approximately 80 nucleotides in length. The record is from Rfam by way of RNAcentral. Lineage: Duplodnaviria; Heunggongvirae; Uroviricota; Caudoviricetes.
GCCCGGAUGGUGAAAUAGGUAGACACAAGAGACUUAAAAUCUCUCGCUGAAAAGCAUACCAGUUCGAUUCUGGUUCCGGGCA